This 90-nucleotide transfer RNA is filed under the name Paramuricea clavata. It matches the Rfam family "tRNA". From Rfam's summary of the family: Transfer RNA (tRNA) molecules are approximately 80 nucleotides in length. Their secondary structure includes four short double-helical elements and three loops (D, anti-codon, and T loops). Lineage: Eukaryota; Metazoa; Cnidaria; Anthozoa; Malacalcyonacea; Plexauridae. The record is from Rfam by way of RNAcentral.
CUACUGUUAGCUCAGUUGGUAAAGCAAAGGAUUGUAGUUAUUACCAAAUCAGUAUUCCUUAGGUCACCGGUUCAAACCCGGUACGGUAGA